AGUGUACGCUGGCGGUAGGCCUAACACAUGCAAGUCGAACGGCAGCACAGUAAGAGCUUGCUCUUACGGGUGGCGAGUGGCGGACGGGUGAGGAAUACAUCGGAAUCUACUUUUUCGUGGGGGAUAACGUAGGGAAACUUACGCUAAUACCGCAUACGACCUACGGGUGAAAGCAGGGGAUCUUCGGACCUUGCGCGAUUGAAUGAGCCGAUGUCGGAUUAGCUAGUUGGCGGGGUAAAGGCCCACCAAGGCGACGAUCCGUAGCUGGUCUGAGGGGAUGAUCAGCGACAGUGGAACUGAGACACGGUCCAGACUCCUACGGGAGGCAGCAGUGGGGAAUAUUGGACAAUGGGCGCAAGCCUGAUCCAGCCAUACCGCGUGGGUGAAGAAGGCCUUCGGGUUGUAAAGCCCUUUUGUUGGGAAAGAAAAGCAGCAGGUUAAUACCCCGCUGUUCUGACGGUACCCAAAGAAUAAGCACCGGCUAACUUCGUG
This 492-nucleotide ribosomal RNA is filed under the name uncultured bacterium. Its description in RNAcentral is "partial 16S ribosomal RNA". It matches the Rfam family "Bacterial small subunit ribosomal RNA", at positions 29 to 507 of the family's 1533-position model. The record is from RNAcentral.